GCUUCCAUGGCGCAGCGGGGAGUUUAUGAAGACAGAGAGGCGAAGAUAAAGAGACUGAAACUUUCUAAAGUAUUUCAGCCAAAAUAACCCAAAGAAACGAGCUGGACGCUACAGAGCAGAGUCGUGGUUUCACACCAGCACUACGGUGAAACGCCCUGCAGCCGUGAUGAGCAGCGUUAUUCCGCAAUGGAGUGUGUAUGAGAAGAGGUUCAUGCUCCCCUCAGAUGGCCGAGGUCUUCACAGACAGCAUUCACAUGUUUCUCAACCACAUGUUAUAAAUGUUUCUGACUUCCAGAGUGAUAACUUCUGAAACAUAACAGCUUCUAAUGCUGUCCAAAACGUUCUUAUUUAAUUGAAAUUUUUUUAUUGUGAUUGUGUAUUAAUGUUUCAAAUAUAUUUAAUUAAACUAUCAAGCUUAAGUUUCA
Molecule: long non-coding RNA, 425 nt
Organism: Trichomycterus rosablanca
Lineage: Eukaryota; Metazoa; Chordata; Actinopteri; Siluriformes; Trichomycteridae
Exons: 2
Source: RefSeq, a predicted model, not a curated record